AUUUAUUUAUUUUAUCAUGAAAUGCUCCCUCAAAAAUCCCAUCUUCUUCCACUGCACUUCAAGUUUUAGAGUGUCGUUUUUUAAUAGAAGAAGAAAAAAAAAAAAAAGAAUCAAGUGAGUGGGAGGAAAGAACUUCGGUUGCAUGGUGGGGAUGAGUUAAGUGAAGUGAACUUGGGGUUCUUGGCUUUCUAAGGAUCUUGGAAGCAAUUUAAGCCUAAGAGUUGUACACUGGCCGGGGAUUGUGUGAAAGUUGAAAUGGUUACUGGGGGUAAUGCCACUCGCGAGAAAGGCUCAAAGUGAUCAGAAACUCCCAGUUUGCAAACUGCGCUGCCUGGGCCUGCGGAGAGGGAUAAGAUGUAUAACCGGGC
Molecule: unclassified non-coding RNA, 368 nt
Filed under: Hevea brasiliensis (rubber tree)
Lineage: Eukaryota; Viridiplantae; Streptophyta; Magnoliopsida; Malpighiales; Euphorbiaceae
Source: RNAcentral